GCCCUUCUAUGUAAAAUUCUUGGGUUCAGUUCCUGCAUUUGAAAACUUCCGUAUAUAAUAUUUUGACAAUAUAUAGUGUCUUGUCUGUAUCAAAAAUAUACGUAUAACGACACUACUCCGUAUAGCCCCUCUUUUUUAUUCUGUCACUGUACUGCAUAAAUGAUACCAUGUUUAAAAUAAGUAUAAAACUUGGAGAAAAAAAAGUAUUUCAAUUUGUUCGAAAUCAGUUGGAU
Molecule: long non-coding RNA, 233 nt
Filed under: Mytilus galloprovincialis (Mediterranean mussel)
Lineage: Eukaryota; Metazoa; Mollusca; Bivalvia; Mytilida; Mytilidae
Source: RNAcentral